AUUGCAGGCUGCAACCCGCCCUGCAUGAAGUCGGAAUUGCUAGUAAUCGCGGAUCAGCAUGCCGCGGUGAAUACGUUCCCGGGCCUUGUACACACCGCCCGUCACACCAUGGGAGCCGGUAAUACCCGAAGUCAGUAGUCCGACCACGUGAGGACGCUGCCGAAGGUAGGAUUGGCGACUGGGGUGAAGUCGUAACAAGGUACC
This 204-nucleotide ribosomal RNA is filed under the name uncultured bacterium. RNAcentral's name for it is "partial 16S ribosomal RNA". It matches the Rfam family "Bacterial small subunit ribosomal RNA", at positions 1297 to 1500 of the family's 1533-position model. The record is from RNAcentral.